UGAGAGACAGCAUAUCCUGGAAACAUGGGCACUGCCCUAUGGCCCUGUGUUGGCAGGAUGGCUUGAGGCGAAGCUGAGAAGAAGGAGAUGGGGCCCACAGAGGGCCUCUGCCCAGAGCUUCUGGCCACAUGGAUUUGGAGCCCGAUCCCACUUUUGUCCAAGGAUUGUACGUCCAAAUCCAGGCUGAGCUCCUCAGUUGAGCUACUGGGACUCAUCCACGGUGUUCAUUAAAUGCCCACGGGGAGCUCUGCCUGGCACUCUCCUGUUCCUGCAGCUUGCCAAGUCUGUCAAGAGAUUAACCACGUUCAUACUGAGUAAAUACAAGAAACUUGACUGAUUGCCACCUGGCCUGCCCACUUCCUCGGGGCCGUGAUGGUUGUAUCAAGUGUGUCCCCAGAUAAGAGGACACUGGGACAGAAUUAAGAAGCAGGUCACUGAAAUUGGACUCACUGCCCUAGACUUGGCAUCUUCUCUAACUAAGG
Molecule: long non-coding RNA, 482 nt
Organism: Callorhinus ursinus (northern fur seal)
Lineage: Eukaryota; Metazoa; Chordata; Mammalia; Carnivora; Otariidae
Source: RefSeq, a predicted model, not a curated record